This 2923-nucleotide ribosomal RNA is filed under the name Campylobacter coli. Its description in RNAcentral is "23S ribosomal RNA". It matches the Rfam family "Bacterial large subunit ribosomal RNA". Lineage: Bacteria; Pseudomonadati; Campylobacterota; Epsilonproteobacteria; Campylobacterales; Campylobacteraceae. The record is from RNAcentral.
AAAAAAGGUAAGCUACUAAGAGCGAAUGGUGGAUGCCUUGACUGGUAAAGGCGAUGAAGGACGUACUAGACUGCGAUAAGCUACGGGGAGCUGUCAAGAAGCUUUGAUCCGUAGAUUUCCGAAUGGGGCAACCCAAUGUAUAGAGAUAUACAUUACCUAUAUAGGAGCGAACGAGGGGAAUUGAAACAUCUUAGUACCCUCAGGAAAAGAAAUCAAUAGAGAUUGCGUCAGUAGCGGCGAGCGAAAGCGCAAGAGGGCAAACCCAGUGCUUGCACUGGGGGUUGUAGGACUGCAAUGUGCAAGAGGUGAGUUUAGCAGAACAUUCUGGAAAGUAUAGCCAUAGAGGGUGAUAGUCCCGUAUGCGAAAAACAAACCUUAGCUAGCAGUAUCCUGAGUAGGGCGGGACACGAGAAAUCCUGUCUGAAGCUGGGUCGACCACGAUCCAACCCUAAAUACUAAUACCAGAUCGAUAGUGCACAAGUACCGUGAGGGAAAGGUGAAAAGAACUGAGGUGAUCAGAGUGAAAUAGAACCUGAAACCAUUUGCUUACAAUCAUUCAGAGCCCUAUGUAGCAAUACAGGGUGAUGGACUGCCUUUUGCAUAAUGAGCCUGCGAGUUGUGGUGUCUGGCAAGGUUAAGCAAACGCGAAGCCGUAGCGAAAGCGAGUCUGAAUAGGGCGCUUAGUCAGAUGCUGCAGACCCGAAACGAAGUGAUCUAUCCAUGAGCAAGUUGAAGCUAGUGUAAGAACUAGUGGAGGACUGAACCCAUAGGCGUUGAAAAGCCCCGGGAUGACUUGUGGAUAGGGGUGAAAGGCCAAUCAAACUUCGUGAUAGCUGGUUCUCUCCGAAAUAUAUUUAGGUAUAGCGUUGUGUCGUAAUAUAAGGGGGUAGAGCACUGAAUGGGCUAGGGCAUACACCAAUGUACCAAACCCUAUCAAACUCCGAAUACCUUAUAUGUAAUCACAGCAGUCAGGCGGCGAGUGAUAAAAUCCGUCGUCAAGAGGGAAACAACCCAGACUACCAGCUAAGGUCCCUAAAUCUUACUUAAGUGGAAAACGAUGUGAAGUUACUUAAACAACCAGGAGGUUGGCUUAGAAGCAGCCAUCCUUUAAAGAAAGCGUAAUAGCUCACUGGUCUAGUGAUUUUGCGCGGAAAAUAUAACGGGGCUAAAGUAAGUACCGAAGCUGUAGACUUGAUUUUAUCAAGUGGUAGGAGAGCGUUCUAUUUGCGCCGAAGGUAUACCGGUAAGGAGUGCUGGAGCGAAUAGAAGUGAGCAUGCAGGCAUGAGUAGCGAUAAUUAAUGUGAGAAUCAUUAACGCCGUAAACCCAAGGUUUCCUACGCGAUGCUCGUCAUCGUAGGGUUAGUCGGGUCCUAAGUCGAGUCCGAAAGGGGUAGACGAUGGCAAAUUGGUUAAUAUUCCAAUACCAACAUUAGUGUGCGAUGGAAGGACGCUUAGGGCUAAGGGGGCUAGCGGAUGGAAGUGCUAGUCUAAGGUCGUAGGAGGUUAUACAGGCAAAUCCGUAUAACAAUACUCCGAGAACUGAAAGGCUUUUUGAAGUCUUCGGAUGGAUAGAAGAACCCCUGAUGCCGUCGAGCCAAGAAAAGUUUCUAAGUUUAGCUAAUGUUGCCCGUACCGUAAACCGACACAGGUGGGUGGGAUGAGUAUUCUAAGGCGCGUGGAAGAACUCUCUUUAAGGAACUCUGCAAAAUAGCACCGUAUCUUCGGUAUAAGGUGUGGUUCGCUUCGUAUUAGGAUUUACUCCGAAAGCGAAGAAACUUACAACAAAGAGUCCCUCCCGACUGUUUACCAAAAACACAGCACUCUGCUAACUCGUAAGAGGAUGUAUAGGGUGUGACGCCUGCCCGGUGCUCGAAGGUUAAUUGAUGGGGUUAGCAUUAGCGAAGCUCUUGAUCGAAGCCCGAGUAAACGGCGGCCGUAACUAUAACGGUCCUAAGGUAGCGAAAUUCCUUGUCGGUUAAAUACCGACCUGCAUGAAUGGCGUAACGAGAUGGGAGCUGUCUCAAAGAGGGAUCCAGUGAAAUUGUAGUGGAGGUGAAAAUUCCUCCUACCCGCGGCAAGACGGAGAGACCCCGUGGACCUUUACUACAGCUUGACACUGCUACUUGGAUAAGAAUGUGCAGGAUAGGUGGGAGGCUUUGAGUAUAUGACGCCAGUUGUAUAUGAGCCAUUGUUGAGAUACCACUCUUUCUUAUUUGGGUAGCUAACCAGCUUGAGUUAUCCUCAAGUGGGACAAUGUCUGGUGGGUAGUUUGACUGGGGCGGUCGCCUCCCAAAUAAUAACGGAGGCUUACAAAGGUUGGCUCAGAACGGUUGGAAAUCGUUCGUAGAGUAUAAAGGUAUAAGCCAGCUUAACUGCAAGACAUACAAGUCAAGCAGAGACGAAAGUCGGUCUUAGUGAUCCGGUGGUUCUGUGUGGAAGGGCCAUCGCUCAAAGGAUAAAAGGUACCCCGGGGAUAACAGGCUGAUCUCCCCCAAGAGCUCACAUCGACGGGGAGGUUUGGCACCUCGAUGUCGGCUCAUCGCAUCCUGGGGCUGGAGCAGGUCCCAAGGGUAUGGCUGUUCGCCAUUUAAAGCGGUACGCGAGCUGGGUUCAGAACGUCGUGAGACAGUUCGGUCCCUAUCUGCCGUGGGCGUAAGAAGAUUGAAGAGAUUUGACCCUAGUACGAGAGGACCGGGUUGAACAAACCACUGGUGUAGCUGUUGUUCUGCCAAGAGCAUCGCAGCGUAGCUAAGUUUGGAAAGGAUAAACGCUGAAAGCAUCUAAGCGUGAAGCCAACUCUAAGAUGAAUCUUCUCUAAGCUCUCUAGAAGACUACUAGUUUGAUAGGCUGGGUGUGUAAUGGAUGAAAGUCCUUUAGCUGACCAGUACUAAUAGAGCGUUUGGCUUAUCUUUAAUAAAGCAU